UACGUAGGGGGCGAGCGUUGUCCGGAGUUACUGGGCGUAAAGGGCAAGUAGGCGGUCCUGCGCGUUUCCGGUGCCAGCUCCUUGCUUAACGAGGGGAGUGCCGGGAAGACGGUGGGACUUGAGGGCCUCAGAGGGACAUAGAAUUCCGGGUGGAGUGGUGAAAUGCGUAGAUAUCCGGAGGAAUACCAAAGGCGAAGGCAGUGUCCUGGGAGGUUUUACUGACGCUGAGGUGCGAAAGCCAGGGGAGCGAACGGG
RNAcentral lists this ribosomal RNA (255 nucleotides) under uncultured bacterium. RNAcentral's name for it is "partial 16S ribosomal RNA". It matches the Rfam family "Bacterial small subunit ribosomal RNA", at positions 524 to 776 of the family's 1533-position model. The record is from RNAcentral.